CGAAGGGUGCAAGCGUUAAUCGGAAUUACUGGGCGUAAAGCGCGCGUAGGUGGUUCGUUAAGUUAGGAGUGAAAGCCCCGGGCUCAACCUGGGAAUUGCUUCUAAAACUGGCGGACUAGAGUAUGGUAGAGGGUGGUGGAAUUUCCUGUGUAGCGGUGAAAUGCGUAGAUAUAGGAAGGAACAUCAGUGGCGAAGGCGACCACCUGGACUGAUACUGACACUGAGGUGCGAAAGCGUGGGGAGCAAACAGGAUU
RNAcentral lists this ribosomal RNA (254 nucleotides) under uncultured bacterium. RNAcentral's name for it is "partial 16S ribosomal RNA". It matches the Rfam family "Bacterial small subunit ribosomal RNA", at positions 526 to 779 of the family's 1533-position model. The record is from RNAcentral.